This 204-nucleotide long non-coding RNA is filed under the name Lathyrus oleraceus (garden pea). Its description in RNAcentral is "Pisum sativum (pea) long non-coding RNA (PSAT_LNC002954)". The record is from RNAcentral. Lineage: Eukaryota; Viridiplantae; Streptophyta; Magnoliopsida; Fabales; Fabaceae.
CUAGUGUAACUUCUAUCAGCCUUGGAUUUAUUAUAUCCUAUUCCAGAUUUGUCUCCUGUGAUAUAUCCUAUUUAACAUCCUUACAUACUUGGUCAUCUCUUCUAGUUUUGAGUUCAAGAACAAAGCUUCUGUUUUUAACUUUGAGAUGGUUUCCACAUGUUCAGCCUUUUCAUUCUCCAGCUGUAAUAUCUUCUGGCUUUCAAC